Molecule: signal recognition particle RNA, 300 nt
Filed under: Aotus nancymaae (Ma's night monkey)
Lineage: Eukaryota; Metazoa; Chordata; Mammalia; Primates; Aotidae
Description: Metazoan signal recognition particle RNA (ENSANAG00000010914.1)
Rfam family: Metazoan signal recognition particle RNA
About the family: The signal recognition particle (SRP) is a universally conserved ribonucleoprotein. It is involved in the co-translational targeting of proteins to membranes. The eukaryotic SRP consists of a 300-nucleotide 7S RNA and six proteins: SRPs 72, 68, 54, 19, 14, and 9.
Source: RNAcentral
GCCAGGCACAGUUGCACGCACCUGUAGCCCAGGUAUUCUGGAGGCUAAGGCAGAAGAAUCACUUGAGCCCUGGAGUUCAGGGCUAUCAUGCACUAAGUUGAUCUGGUGUUUAUGCUAAGUUCUGCAUCAAUAUGGUGACUUCCUGGGAGUGGGGGACCACCAGGUUGCCUAAGGAGGGGUGACCCUAAGUUGGAAACAGAGCUAGUCAAAACUCCUGUGCAAUUCCAGCAGUAGAAUCGCACCCCUCUGAAUAGGUGCAAUUGCCCUCCAGCAUGGGCAACAUAGCAAGACCCUGUCUCU